This 91-nucleotide microRNA precursor is filed under the name Petromyzon marinus (sea lamprey). RNAcentral's name for it is "microRNA pma-mir-10b precursor". Its record names the gene pma-mir-10b. Lineage: Eukaryota; Metazoa; Chordata; Hyperoartia; Petromyzontiformes; Petromyzontidae. The record is from miRBase by way of RNAcentral.
CGGCCCGGGUCCGCUUACCCUGUAGGUACGACCUUGCGUGUCCACAAAAAGGUUGCAAGGUUGUGACUACAGCGUACGCGGCCCCGGGAAC